CCUACGGGAGGCAGCAGUGAGGAAUAUUGGACAAUGGGCGCAAGCCUGAUCCAGCCAUGCCGCGUGCAGGAAGAAGCAUCUAUGGUGUGUAAACUGCUUUUGUACAGGAAGAAACACUCCCUCGUGAGGGAGCUUGACGGUACUGUAAGAAUAAGGACCGGCUAACUCCGUGCCAGCAGCCGCGGUAAUACGGAGGGUCCGAGCGUUAUCCGGAAUCAUUGGGUUUAAAGGGUCCGUAGGCGGUUUAAUAAGUCAGUGGUGAAAUCUGGUCGCUCAACGAUCAAACGGCCAUUGAUACUGUUAGACUUGAAUUAUAAGGAAGUAACUAGAAUAUGUAGUGUAGCGGUGAAAUGCUUAGAUAUUACAUGGAAUACCAAUUGCGAAGGCAGGUUACUACUUAUGGAUUGACGCUGAUGGACGAAAGCGUGGGGAGCGAACAGGAUUAGAUACCCUGGUAGUCCACGCCGUAAACGAUGGAUACUAGCUGUUCGGAGCAAUCUGAGUGGCUAAGCGAAAGUGAUAAGUAUCCCACCUGGGGAGUACGUUCGCAAGAAUUGAAACUUCAAAGAUUAGUUGGCGNGNGAGAGCGACGACGACGACGAGGAGGAGGAGG
RNAcentral lists this ribosomal RNA (613 nucleotides) under uncultured bacterium. RNAcentral describes it as "bacterial SSU rRNA". It matches the Rfam family "Bacterial small subunit ribosomal RNA", at positions 338 to 956 of the family's 1533-position model. The record is from RNAcentral.